RNAcentral lists this ribosomal RNA (429 nucleotides) under uncultured bacterium. RNAcentral describes it as "bacterial SSU rRNA". It matches the Rfam family "Bacterial small subunit ribosomal RNA", at positions 355 to 775 of the family's 1533-position model. The record is from RNAcentral.
UGGGGAAUUGUUCGCAAUGGGCGCAAGCCUGACGACGCAACGCCGCGUGGAGGACGAAGGCUUUCGGGUCGUAAACUCCUGUCGUGCGGGACGAAUGGCCGCGGACUGAACAGGUCCGCGGUUUGACGGUACCGCGAAAGGAAGCCCCGGCUAACUCCGUGCCAGCAGCCGCGGUAAUACGGGGGGGGCAAGCGUUGUUCGGAAUUACUGGGCGUAAAGGGCUCGUAGGCGGCUCUCUAAGUCAGACGUGAAAUCCCUCGGCUUAACCGGGGAACUGCGUCUGAGACUGAAGAGCUUGAAUCCGGGAGAGGGAUGCGGAAUUCCAGGUGUAGCGGUGAAAUGCGUAGAUAUCUGGAGGAACACCGGUGGCGAAGGCGGCAUCCUGGACCGGUAUUGACGCUGAGGAGCGAAAGCCAGGGGAGCAAACGG